This 571-nucleotide small RNA is filed under the name Pongo abelii (Sumatran orangutan). Its description in RNAcentral is "processed transcript". Lineage: Eukaryota; Metazoa; Chordata; Mammalia; Primates; Hominidae. The record is from RNAcentral.
CUUCACGGUUGGCGUUGGUCUUGUUCACUGCUGUGUGCCAAGCUGCUGACAGCAUCUGGCUAUCUCAGUAGAGAUGGGAUUUUGCCAUGUUGCCCAUGCUGGUCUUGAACUCCCGGCCUCAAGAGAUCCUCUUGUCUCCAAAUCGCUUCGCAGAAGUGCUGGGAUUACAGAUCCUGUGCGCAGGUGGCACCCCUAGUCCAAUUCCUGACCCUUCAGUAGCAACUGUUGCCACAGGGGAAAAUGGCGUAACUCAGAUCAGCAGUACAGCAGAAUCCUUUCACAAACAGAAUGGAACUGGAACACCUCAGGUGGAAACAAACACCAGUGAGGGUGGCGAAAACUCUGGAGCCAACGAUAGUUUAAGAACACCUGAACAAGGAUCUAAUGGGACUGAUGGGGCAUCUCAAAAAACUCCCAGUAGCACUGGGCCCAGUCCUGUGUUUAACAUUAAAGCUGUUUCCAUCAGUCCAACCAAUGUGAUCUUAACCUGGGAAAGUAACGACACAGCUGCUUCUCAGUACAAGUAUGUAGUAAAGAAUGAGAUGGAAAAUGAGAAGACAAUUACUGUCGU